UACGAAGGGGGCUAGCGUUGUUCGGAAUUACUGGGCGUAAAGCGCACGUAGGCGGGUCGUUAAGUCGGUGGUGAAAUCCUGGAGCUCAACUCCAGAACUGCCUCCGAUACUGAGAGUCUUCGAGUCCGGGAGAGGUGAGUGGAACUGCGAGUGUAGAGGUGAAAUUCGUAGAUAUUCGCAAGAACACCAGUGGCGAAGGCGGCUCACUGGCCCGGUACUGACGCUGAGGUGCGAAAGCGUGGGGAGCAAACAGG
Molecule: ribosomal RNA, 254 nt
Filed under: uncultured bacterium
Lineage: Bacteria
Description: partial 16S ribosomal RNA
Rfam family: Bacterial small subunit ribosomal RNA
Source: RNAcentral